This 74-nucleotide transfer RNA is filed under the name Anoplophora glabripennis (Asian longhorned beetle). RNAcentral's name for it is "tRNA-Ser". It matches the Rfam family "tRNA". Rfam says of the family: Transfer RNA (tRNA) molecules are approximately 80 nucleotides in length. Their secondary structure includes four short double-helical elements and three loops (D, anti-codon, and T loops). Further hydrogen bonds mediate the characteristic L-shaped molecular structure. tRNAs have two regions of fundamental functional importance: the anti-codon, which is responsible for specific mRNA codon recognition, and the 3' end, to which the tRNAs corresponding amino acid is attached (by aminoacyl-tRNA synthetases). tRNAs cope with the degeneracy of the genetic code in two manners: having more than one tRNA (with a specific anti-codon) for a particular amino acid; and 'wobble' base-pairing, i.e. permitting non-standard base-pairing at the 3rd anti-codon position. The record is from RNAcentral. Lineage: Eukaryota; Metazoa; Arthropoda; Insecta; Coleoptera; Cerambycidae.
GCCUCCUUAGCUCAGUGAGGUAGAGCGCUGGUUUAGAAAACCGGAGGUCGUGAGUUUAAAUCUCACAGGAGGCA